Molecule: long non-coding RNA, 1844 nt
Filed under: Nicotiana benthamiana
Lineage: Eukaryota; Viridiplantae; Streptophyta; Magnoliopsida; Solanales; Solanaceae
Description: long non-coding RNA (NBEN_LNC028577)
Source: RNAcentral
AGCUUGGUCUACCACCUUCAGGAGGUUUGUUGGCAAGCUCAAUUUCCUACAGCACACAAGCCUGAUAUAUCUUGUCACGCCCCUUUUCUUAUAACUAACUUCAAUAAAACCUCUUAAAAUAAUAAAAAGAUUUAUAAAGCUCAAACUAGGGUUUUCCAAUUAGAAAGUGACAAAAUAUGUUCAAAAGUAAAUAACUCAGAGUUGCCACCUAAUAUUGAUAUUGGUGUGCCACGUCACCGUUUUGUUCUUUAAAAUGAUGUUUCCUUUAAAAUACUUCUAGACUCCAAAAUAAAGUAUACACUAGAGAUUCGAGUAAGGGGGUCCAUUUGACUCGAGGAGAAGGUGUUAGGCACUCCCCAAGUCCUGUGAAAUUCACCAUACUUGAUCUAGUCGACUUUUGAAAAAUUCGAAAUGAGGUAAUAUACACAUAAAAAGCAAAAUAAAUAUAUGCGAGGCUCGAGGUUUUCCCCACAUAAAUAAUAGAAAAUUAAAAGAAGAAAAAUUAGAUUUCUAAAUUAUCCUACGCUACUUCUUCUACGAUGUUCGCCAUGGCCUCCAAUUACAUUCACUUCGGGGCAUACCCCUGAAAUAAAAUAUAUACAAAUUCCUCGGGGCAUUUUCCGAUUAAAUUGAACUAAGGGAACGACCUCUCGCCUCAAAACUAACAAAAUCGUAAUGCUUUCCCUACCCAAUUGAUGAUGGCCUAAACAUGCUCCUAACGAAUGACAUCAUCAAUAAAGAAGAUAAAAGAACCAAGUAAAAGAAACAGGCGAAUGCUCAUAUCUUGUUUUUAACUUUACAUUUUAUUAGGCCAAGCAUAAUACAUAAAACAUGGAAAAAAUUAAUUGCUAAUGGGUUUCGACUUUUCUACCACUCACCAUGACCCUACAACCAUUCAAACAAUUUUAAACUCGAUAAAAUCAGACUCAAAUGAUAAAAUAUCCAAAAUAGGAAUUCAAGAAGAUAAAUGCAUGUAAGACAACAUGCUAACAAAUAAAGGACACUAAUAAAAUGACAACAUGAGACAAAAUAGCAAAUUGCGGUCUAAAAAACUUCCUCAUCACAAAGUUCAUUAUUCUCACUCAGCAUGGCAUAAGGAUUAUAUAAUAAAAUCAAUUUAAAAUGACUAAGUGAAGAAAAUCACUGGAAACAUAAAAGGACUAGUCAUAACAGCACACAAGAUAUGCGAAAACAAGUUUGAAUUAAACAAAGCUUCAAUACUCAAAUAAAAACAAAAACAAAAAUAAAGUAUAGGAGAUUAUAAUAACCUCAGAGUGGCUCUCAAAUCGGAAAAUUUCAAUGAUUUACAACACUGAGUCGAGCAAAAACUAGCGAAUCCGGAAUGGAGAAAUUCAAUAGGAUCUUCAAACAAAGACAACGAGUUGCAACCAGAAACACAAGUGGCGACUCUAAAAUUUGAACACCUCAUCGGUUUUACUCCAUUUCGAACAAAAUCCAGAAGAAGAAAUUGUUUUUCUAUGGUUAUUUUUUAAAUUUUCUGUCCAGCUACUGUCGAAAGUCCUUUUAUCUAUAAUGGCAUGUGUGUGUGUGUGUGUCUCUUUUACUAAUGGCAGAGACGGUUGAAAUUCUUAGUGUGUUAGGUUGGCAGGCGGUUCUGUUCUUUUGGCGUUCAAGAAGUUGAUGAAGAAAAAUGGGCACUGAUGGGGUUCUAAGGUCCUUUGUUAUUUUUCUCCAUUGUUGUCUAAGGUUCUAAGGUUGAAGACAAAGAAGAACGAUUGUUUUGGUGAGGGUGACGACUCUAAGUGUAGGAUUUAGCUUGUUUCAUUGUUGUGUAGAUGAAGAAGGAGGAGCUCCUUUUUGUAUAUGUCCCCUCCCAAAAAGAC